This 571-nucleotide ribosomal RNA is filed under the name Trichosporon sp. EN31S13. RNAcentral's name for it is "eukaryotic LSU rRNA". It matches the Rfam family "Eukaryotic large subunit ribosomal RNA", at positions 89 to 650 of the family's 3401-position model. Lineage: Eukaryota; Fungi; Basidiomycota; Tremellomycetes; Trichosporonales; Trichosporonaceae. The record is from RNAcentral.
GCGAGUGAACCGGGAAAAGCUCAAAUUUGAAAUCUGGCUGUCUUCGAUAGUCCGAGUUGUAAUCUAUAGAAGUGUUUUCCGUGCUGAACUGUGUCUAAGUCCCUUGGAACAGGGUAUCAAAGAGGGUGACAAUCCCGUACUUGACACAAUCAUCAGUGCUCUGUGAUACACUCUCUACGAGUCGAGUUGUUUGGGAAUGCAGCUCAAAAUGGGUGGUAAAUUCCAUCUAAGGCUAAAUAUUGGCGAGAGACCGAUAGCGAACAAGUACCGUGAGGGAAAGAUGAAAAGCACUUUGGAAAGAGAGUUAAACAGUACGUGAAAUUGUUGAAAGGGAAACGAUUGAAGUCAGUCGUGUUCAUUGGAUUCAGCUAGUUCUUCUAGUCUACUUCCUUUGAACGGGUCAACAUCAGUUUUGUCCGGUGGAUAAAGGCAGUAGGAAUGUGGCUUCUUCGGAAGUGUUAUAGCCUAUUGUCACAUACACUGGGGGAGACUGAGGACUGCAGCUCGCCUUUUGGCCGGGGUUCGCCCACGUUCGAGCUUAGGAUGUUGACAUAAUGGCUUUAAACGACCC